CCCACAAGAUCUUCAGAUUAGCGGUCUUUCAUUACUCCACCACAUUUGAAUCCGAUUGGCUCUACUUGGCAAGUCGGCGGGAAACACCUCGGUCCAUACGUUGGGGAUAUGCAUUGGGGAAACAAAAUCCGCGGGCGAAAAUCUGAAUCCGAAGCAUCAAGCCGACGACUUAGCGCGAGAUCGAUCCUCCAUUCACUAACCUCGGUUCGGUCGGGAAGUCCUGAAACAGCUAAAAUUCACGUUAAAAUUUCGCUUUGACGUUGAAUACGAAACAGGAAUCGCUGCUCUCGGAGAGAAAGAAACAUAGAACUAAAGAAAAAAAUAAAAGAGUUGUUAUCGUGCACUGUGGCUACUUUGAUAGAUAUAGAGAAGAGUUGAUA
This 380-nucleotide small RNA is filed under the name Histoplasma capsulatum var. duboisii H88. RNAcentral's name for it is "Histoplasma capsulatum H88 hypothetical RNA". The record is from RNAcentral. Lineage: Eukaryota; Fungi; Ascomycota; Eurotiomycetes; Onygenales; Ajellomycetaceae.